GCAAGAAUAAUCACUGAUCUGUUUUGAUGAGAGUAACUUUAAAAUAAUUCUAUUUACUAUUUGCCUUUUCUGAUGUAACUGUUCAUUUCCUUGUUUCCUGAUUCAUGCAAAACAAAAAGGAAAAAAGAAAAGCAUUUCUAGAAAAUGUCUUAAUCUGGUCAAAGUAAGCCUCUAUGUCUUUGUUCCACAGAAGCUUUAUUAGUUUCCUGGGCUCCAUAGCAGGAUAAACUAUUUCAUGCAUGAAGGGAUCAGCAUUCCUUCUUCUAAUCAUUGCUAUUGUACCCAUUACAAAGCUUUCUGAACAUCUCCUAUGGAUAUCACACACUAUCUUAAUCACCCCUCAAUUAAUAGUUUCAUACUCAUAUUUUAGUUCUGCUACUUCUACACACAAUAACUGCUACUUCAGAAUGAUACCAAAGCCAUAAUAGAAUAUUCUGACUUUAUAGUAAUUUCACCACCAUCGAUACAUUCUUACACUGAAAGAGUCCAAACAGUAGUUUCCACUGAGUAACAGCUUAAUACAACUGGUAAUCCUCUCCUAGUACCAUGACAGAUAUUCAUGCCCAUGUCUCUUGUGACUAGCCUGUAACUUUGAGAAGCACAAGUGCUUUGAUAAGUAAUGAGGUAGCCAUUACUAUUUACAUUAAAAAUAUGGGAAAUAAUAUAGAAUAAACUUUAAUACUAUAAAGUUCUUUAUACUCUGGGUUUUGCUGUUACACUGCAUUACAUUCUUCUGAAAGUAAUACAGGUACUCUCAAAGAGGAAAGAAAGAAGUCAACAAUUUUCACUUUAACAUAGUUGACACGUUUAACGUGUUUGAAGUCAUUUGCCAAAUCAUCUUACCUUUUUCCUCAGGUAGAAGGCAUGUGUGACUUCCUACCCACUCUUAGAAGAUGGUGAGGGUAAAUGUUAAGGUGACAUACAUCUUUCUGAUUGUCCUCAGAGAGGAAAUCAGAAGUAAUCUCACCUGAAUUAGUAUUCUGUUUAUAUUCAAAAGAGAUUCUUAGUGGUUGAAAGGCAUGGUGGACUAAAUUUUUUCACAAGACAUUUUCAGCUAAAUCAGUGAUAUAAUAUUAAAUUAUGCGGUCUACAGACCUGGUGGGAGACUAACUUUCAAAAUUAACAUAAAAUUCUGGUUUGACAAACAGCAACAUUCACUGUUUUACAUAUGUAAAAUCAGAAAUCCAGGAGGCGUCUGCUAUGCAUUCCUCCUCUUUAUAGGUGCAUAAAUCAGUAUUUAGCUCAUAGAACUUGCAAAUGCUUAGCAGUUUUCCAGGAUAUGUAAUGUACAUAAACUGACACACAAAAGGCUCACUACCUUUAACUACUUUCUAUGGACCACUUAAAUAUAGACCAAGCACAGAGAAAAACAUAGGCUGAGAUUACAGACAAUAACAUAAUGCAUCUACAACUGUAAGGCAUGUCUGUAAUAAGCAUAUUUUUAAUAAAUUAAGGAUAAACGAAGACAAUUUGAAGUGUUACGGAAAAAUGGAUAAAAAAAGCAGAAAAUAAAGAUGUGUAGCUUAUUGAGAUCUGACUAGUGUACUGCAAAGUAAUUAGGGAAAAAAAAAAGGCGAUCCCUAGUCUCUGGUAGUUGCAGUUUUGAAGAAAACUUGAAAAUGCAUAGAAAGCAUCACUAACGGGAAGAUCUAUGUAUCUCAUCAGCUGCAGAGAGGUACUUUUCUAAUAAUUGAAAGAGGACUUGUAAGGCACAAGGAGUACACUUUUUCAGGAGAUGAAGGCUCAUACAAAGAUUGGAAUGUAGGCCAAGAAACAAAGGACUUGAGAAAGAAAAGAUUGCUUACACUGCCCCCAAAAUAACUGCUUUCGAAAAAUAGGGAGAAGUGCAAAAGAAGGCAACAUAAGAGAAACAAAAAGCAUAAAAAGAAUUCUUACGCCGCCACAAUAUUUUUCAGAGAGAUACCAAACUGCAGAAUAGGAGCCCUAAAUUGGUAUGGUUUUAAACUAGAAAGGAAUUUAAUUUUAGGAUAGCACUACAGUUUUAAGUUAGCCAAUGUUAGUAAGUUGUUUGUAAGAAUACAGAUUUUGCAAGAGUUAAUACCAUGGAUGGUCACUCCAUGGCAAAAAGAAAACACUAUUCAGGCAUCUUUCAGGAGUGGAAUAAUAAUAAAAAAAACAAACUUCUAGUAAGUAUGGCUUACAUAGUUUGUUAAAAGGUAUCAUGUAAAGUCACAUAAAACAUUAUAGAGAAAGGAAAACCUAAAAUCAUCACAGGUGACUACAGAUUCAAGGAUUUAUUAUUCUGACGUUAGGAAAUACAAAUACAGAAGUUAUUUUUUGUCAUGUGGUUUGUCUUAAUCAAGAACUAAAAAUUCACUCAUAACACUGCACACAAAUGCCAUGUUUAUAUCAAUAUCAUAUGCAACUUGAAUGAAAAAGUAUACAUCAAAAUUGAGAACAGCAAUUCAUAUAAUGGUCAAAGACAACCAGUAACAAAACCACCAAAUUCCAGUUGUCAAACAUAAUUUACUAUGUAUAUUUCUUCUCUUCUUUGUUAAAACAGUAAUUAUUAAACUAAAGUGAUAUGGGUGAGUGUUUACGACUUCUUAUUAAAAACCCUGACUUAAAGCAGUGUUCAUUUAAGCUUAAGGUUAAAGAAAAUCAUGUAGAGAUCUCUGUGCGAUGGCCUACUGACUUUAUAUCCUCUUGUCAAACCUCAGCAGUUUUAUUUGUAGUGAUACAUGCCGGGGAAGGUUGGAGGUUAAAGUUGAUAGGAGGGCCAACAGGAAAGCCAACCAACUUCUUUCAAAAGAUUACAACCUUUAACAUAUUAGGAUCUGUCAGCAGUUACUGCUAACUUGGUAUGUCUACAUUUGUGUACUCUUCUGUGAACUGAUCCCCAAACUCCAGAUCAACAGAAUCAAGAAACCUGAUUCUUACUACUUUCCUUCAAUUAUUCCUCCCUAAUUUUCUUCCUUUUUAAGCUAUAAUUUCAGUUUUUGAUAUUAUAUUGAAGAUUAGCACUUAUCAUUAGUUUUCAGAAAAACAUUAACAGCUAGGUAAAAUUUCUUUCCUGGCCUUCUUCAGCCUAAUUUUCUCUCUCACCCUGAGAAUUGAAGGAAGGAUUUUCUAUAGUCUAGGAAAUCAUAUGUUAAAUGUAAUAGCAGCAAAGUCUACUGUAUUGAAGCUCUUCAGAUUUCCCUUUCUUCAACUUACUUAGACACUGCUUCCUCUGUGAUUCAUUUUUAAGUUAUACAGAUAACGAUAAAUGAAAUCACACAGAAUCACUGCAUAGCUGAGGUUAAAAGGGACCUCUGGAGAGUGUCUCGUCCUAUUCAAAGCUCAGUGAACUACAGCAGGUUGCUCAGGGCUUUGUCCAGCCAUGUUAUGAGAAUCUUCAAGGACAAAGACUUUACAGUCUCUCUGAAUAAACUGUUCCAGUGUUUGAUGGCUCUCACAAGACUAUUAAAUAGAACUUCCUGUAUAGUAUGUUAUUUGAUCUAGGAUACCACUAGGACGAGUCUGAUUCCAUGUUUUUUAUUCCCUCUCAGCAGCUAUUUAUACACAUUGAUAAGAUUCUCUUGCUCUUCUCGGCUACACAGUGUGAACUCUCUCAGACUCUCCUCCAACAACAGAUGCUCCCAUCUAUUCAUCAUAUUUGAGGCCCCUCACUGGACUCACUGCAAGUACCUCUGGACAAGAUCGAGCACACAUGACAAAUGCUUCUGACUUCUUUUUAAAUCGAACCUGGAAGGUCAUCGCUGAACAAACAGAAUGCUCUACUACUGUGCCCAUAAAUUGUGAAAGCUAACAAUAAGAAAUAAGCAGCGAAACAUUCAAGGAAAUCCACUUGCAAGAUGUAAUUGAUAUAGACACUGAAACAAAGCUCAAGUUUAAAGAGAUACUGUCUUUAAUAAUAUUAGUUAGAUUGAAGAAAUUUUCAUGUUAGCUAUGUGACCACUGGAAGCCUGGUACUUCAGAUGGUAUUAGUUUUGAUACGAGCUAACUAGACAUCAGACCUAAAUAAUGAAACCUGAACAGACAGGCUUGGACCCAGCAAAUAAGAAUGUCCGCAGAGGCUCUUGUGCAGCUGAUUGUACCUUGAUGAUAAACAACAAACCCUAGAAAAACACUGGAGGAAGAAGAAUUCUUUUUCAGCAUCAUAGCUAACAUAGCCUUGUAACUUUAAUAUGUAAGUCCUAAUCAUGACAAGUUAAAAAAAAGUUAUUUAUUUCAUUAAAAAUGUCACACAUCAGAGAUGCUGUGAAGUUAGACUUUCAACAAUUUAGAUGUAAAUCUUCGAUGUCUUUAAGUACUCAUGACAACAGCAUAUUUAUCAUUUGAAAUAAAAGGACAUGAUUACUUGAUGUUCAUAUCAAAGUCUUGUGAUGGAUGAGAGAGCACUAAACAAAUGACAAACCAGAAGGAAUACAGUUUCUUGCUAUUUUGAUUAAUGAAUGGAAAUGAAGACCUCUUUUCCUAAUUGACAUACAUACAUUAUAAAACUACACACAUAAAUAUACAAAUAAGUUUGUAUAAUGCACUAUGUAUACUCAGGAGAUUGGUAUGUUCUUAACUAGACAUACUACAAAUAGUAACUAAAAUAAAGCCAAUUUACUUUAUGCAAGAAGAAGUCACAAAAUCAAACACUAACUUUAAUCAAAUGUGUAGUUAACUGCUUAUCAAUUUAUACACUCAGAAACAAUUUUAGCUUUUUUUUGUAUUAAAACUCCCCAAGUAACAAGAGUGAAACAUUUUACCUUUUCUUCCAAUUUGUUUCUUACUUCCUUAUUUCUCGGUUUAAAUUAUGCUUAAAUGAAAUUAUGCUUGUGUCAUUUAAAGUUGCAUAAAAUUAAUGUAAGCAUCACUGAAAACAAAGGUGGAGUUUUUAUGUGAGAUGCAAUAUUAAAAGAUGAAUUUUGAGCUUCAGAUCCAAUUUUUAUUGCUAGCUUUCAUAUUUUUGAUACUCCAGUCAUGUUAUGUCAUUGCCUAGCUUUAUUUUUAUUCAAAAUGUAUCAAACCACUUAUGACCUGCUUAACAAGAACUCAAGCAUCAACAUUUACUUACUAAGUAUGAGAAUCACAGCUGCUGUUGGUAAGACAGGCAAGACUUUGUUCAAUUUGUAGAUCUGCAUGCAGUGGCAAGGUCCAGUGAGGCCCAAUGAUAUUUUCACAAAAGUACUUGUCAAAGUACUUGUCGUGCUCCAUGAGAUCAAUCUCUCCCUUUCUCCUUUUCCAUUAUAGUUUCACAAUGAGUGAGUAACUCCUCAGAAAAAUACUCGUCACUCUAGUUUUGUAAAUGAAAACUCACUUUGCUAACUGGAGAACUACUGAUAAACAUACUUGUUUUUACCUUUUCUGCUGUAAUUAUGAAACUUAAAAAUAAAAUAAACAUAAAUGAAAAAAAAACCCAAACAUCUACAAUCCAUACUAAUUGUUGUUUUUUUUUUAAAUAGAAAAAUCCUCCACAUACAACUUUCAAAAAUUUACAGGAAGUAACAUUUUAUAAUCUACAGAAAAGUAUGCAACUAAAUAUAAAUCAAACUGUGAUACCAAGAGGGAAAUGUAAUAUUAAAAAUUAAAAUAUUUUGCAUUCUUUUUCUUUUUUAAUUGUUAAAGUGAUUUUUACCUAAACCUUUGAAUGGAAAUACAUUUGUAGUCAACAAUGAUGUAAAUGUCUGUUUGAACUGUAGUGUUUAAAAAAAAUAUAAUUGGCACCAACAAUUGUUUUGCUCUGCUGCUCAGAAACCCUAGAAAGGCACAUCUGAUGAUGUAUUUAAUGCAACUUAUCCAUAUACCCUGUGUGCCUCUUAUAAUGCAAGAUUA
Meleagris gallopavo (turkey) is the source of this 5787-nucleotide non-coding RNA. The record is from RefSeq and is a predicted model, not a curated record. Lineage: Eukaryota; Metazoa; Chordata; Aves; Galliformes; Phasianidae.